RNAcentral lists this long non-coding RNA (304 nucleotides) under Homo sapiens (human). Its description in RNAcentral is "HSALNT0031635". Lineage: Eukaryota; Metazoa; Chordata; Mammalia; Primates; Hominidae. The record is from RNAcentral.
CGCCUCGAGUAGCUGGGACCACAGAUACAAGGUCUCGCUGUUCUACCUAGGCUGUUCUAGAACUCCUAAUGUCAAGCUAUCCUCCUGCCUCGGCCUCCCAUGCUGUUGGGAUUACAGGUGAGAACCACCGUCCUUGGUCACAAAUUCCUUUAAAGAGCUGUGCAAUGGCUCUCACAGCCAUUGCAGUACACUGAACUCCAUAGAGACAGCACUGGGCAAGUGAGAACCAGACAGGCAUUGGGCGACUCUGCCUCACUGAGGAAAAAUAACUAAAAAUGGGCAAAGGAGAUCCUAAGAAGCUGAG